UCCGUAGGUGAACCUGCGGAAGGAUCAUUACCGAGUGUAGGGUUCCUGGCGAGCCCAACCUCCCACCCGUGUUUACUGUACCUUAGUUGCUUCGGCGGGCCCGCCAUUCAUGGCCGCCGGGGGCUCUCAGCCCCGGGCCCGCGCCCGCCGGAGACACCACGAACUCUGUCUGAUCUAGUGAAGUCUGAGUUGAUUGUAUCGCAAUCAGUUAAAACUUUCAACAAUGGAUCUCUUGGUUCCGGCAUCGAUGAAGAACGCAGCGAAAUGCGAUAACUAGUGUGAAUUGCAGAAUUCCGUGAAUCAUCGAGUCUUUGAACGCACAUUGCGCCCCCUGGUAUUCCGGGGGGCAUGCCUGUCCGAGCGUCAUUGCUGCCCAUCAAGCACGGCUUGUGUGUUGGGUCGUCGUCCCCUCUCCGGGGGGGACGGGCCCCAAAGGCAGCGGCGGCACCGCGUCCGAUCCUCGAGCGUAUGGGGCUUUGUCACCCGCUCUGUAGGCCCGGCCGGCGCUUGCCGAACGCAAAUCAAUCUUUUUCCAGGUUGACCUCGGGUCAGGUAGGGAUACCCGCUGAACUUAAGCAUAUCAAUAAGCGGAGGUCCUCCGCUUAUUGAUAUGCGGGGGACUUCCCUCUAAAUGACCAAG
RNAcentral lists this ribosomal RNA (640 nucleotides) under Aspergillus flavus. RNAcentral describes it as "eukaryotic LSU rRNA". The stretch from base 213 to 366 matches the Rfam family "5.8S ribosomal RNA". The record is from RNAcentral. Lineage: Eukaryota; Fungi; Ascomycota; Eurotiomycetes; Eurotiales; Aspergillaceae.